GCAAGACAGUGGAGCCCGUUGGACUUUCACAGUAAUAAACACAACCAUAUGUUACAACUAAAAAUGUGUGUUGCUACACAACGCAUGCAAAUAAAACAUUUCAACGGUCACAUGUACGUCUCUGUGUUAAAGUGGGUCUAGUCCAGGUGUGUCUAGUCCAGGUGUGUCUCUGUGUUACAGUGUGUCUA
Molecule: long non-coding RNA, 188 nt
Organism: Oncorhynchus masou masou (cherry salmon)
Lineage: Eukaryota; Metazoa; Chordata; Actinopteri; Salmoniformes; Salmonidae
Exons: 2
Source: RefSeq, a predicted model, not a curated record